CGAGGAAUCUUGCGCAAUGGGCGAAAGCCUGACGCAGCAACGCCGCGUGAAGGAUGAAGGUCUUCGGAUUGUAAACUUCUGUUAAGUGGGAAGAAAGACCAUCUUUUAAUAGAAGAUGGGGAUGACGGUACCAUUAGAGAAAGCACCGGCUAACUUCGUGCCAGCAGCCGCGGUAAUACGAGGGGUGCAAACGUUAUUCGGAAUUAUUGGGCGUAAAGGGUGCGUAGACGGCGUGAUAAGUCAGUUGUUAAAUUCUUCGGCUCAACCGGGGCUCAGCAGCAGAAACUAUCACGCUAGAGGAUGGAAGAGAGAAGUGGAAUUCUCGGAGUAGCGGUAAAAUGCGUAGAUCUCGAGAGGAACACCGAUGGCGAAGGCAGCUUCUUGGUCCAUAUCUGACGUUGAGGCACGAAAGCGUGGGGAGCAAACAG
RNAcentral lists this ribosomal RNA (428 nucleotides) under uncultured bacterium. RNAcentral describes it as "bacterial SSU rRNA". It matches the Rfam family "Bacterial small subunit ribosomal RNA", at positions 355 to 775 of the family's 1533-position model. The record is from RNAcentral.